This 283-nucleotide ribosomal RNA is filed under the name uncultured bacterium. Its description in RNAcentral is "partial 16S ribosomal RNA". It matches the Rfam family "Bacterial small subunit ribosomal RNA", at positions 123 to 406 of the family's 1533-position model. The record is from RNAcentral.
AACCUGCCCUCCACUCUGGGAUAACGCUGGGAAACCGGUGCUAAUACUGGAUACGACCUACUCGGGCAUCCGAUGUGGGUGGAAAGAUUUAUUGGUGGGGGAUGGACUCGCGGCCUAUCAGCUUGUUGGUGAGGUAAUGGCUCACCAAGGCGACGACGGGUAGCCGGCCUGAGAGGGCGAUCGGCCACACUGGGACUGAGACACGGCCCAGACUCCUACGGGAGGCAGCAGUGGGGAAUAUUGCACAAUGGGCGAAAGCCUGAUGCAGCGACGCCGCGUGAGG